GAUGAACGCUGGCGGCGUGCCUAAUACAUGCAAGUCGAGCGAACAGACGAGGAGCUUGCUCCUCUGACGUUAGCGGCGGACGGGUGAGUAACACGUGGAUAACCUACCUAUAAGACUGGGAUAACUUCGGGAAACCGGAGCUAAUACCGGAUAAUUUAUUGAACCGCAUGGUUCAAUAGUGAAAGACGGUUUUGCUGUCAAUUAUAGAUGGAUCCGCGCCGCAUUAGCUAGUUGGUAAGGUAACGGCUUACCAAGGCAACGAUGCGUAGCCGACCUGAGAGGGUGAGCGGCCACACUGGAACGGAAACACGGUCCAGACUCCGACGGGAGGCAGCAGGAGGGAAUCUUCCGCAAUGGGCGAAAGCCUGACGGAGCGACGCCGCGUGAGUGAUGAAGGUCUUCGGAUCGUAAAACUCUGUUAUUAGGGAAGAACAAAUGUGUAAGUAACUAUGCACGUCUUGACGGUACCUAAUCAGAAAGCCACGGCUAACUACGUG
RNAcentral lists this ribosomal RNA (497 nucleotides) under uncultured bacterium. RNAcentral's name for it is "partial 16S ribosomal RNA". It matches the Rfam family "Bacterial small subunit ribosomal RNA", at positions 28 to 507 of the family's 1533-position model. The record is from RNAcentral.